CAGCCGCCACGGGAAUACGUAGGGUGCGAGCGUUAAUCGGAAUUACUGGGCGUAAAGCGGGCGCAGACGGUUACUUAAGCAGGAUGUGAAAUCCCCGGGCUCAACCUGGGAACUGCGUUCUGAACUGGGUAACUAGAGUGUGUCAGAGGGAGGUAGAAUUCCACGUGUAGCAGUGAAAUGCGUAGAGAUGUGGAGGAAUACCGAUGGCGAAGGCAGCCUCCUGGGAUAACACUGACGUUCAUGCCCGAAAGCGUGGGUAGCAAACAGGAUUAGAUACCCCCGUAGUCCCUGUCUCUUAUAA
Molecule: ribosomal RNA, 301 nt
Filed under: uncultured bacterium
Lineage: Bacteria
Description: partial 16S ribosomal RNA
Rfam family: Bacterial small subunit ribosomal RNA
Source: RNAcentral